Ruditapes philippinarum (Manila clam) is the source of this 504-nucleotide long non-coding RNA. RefSeq lists it as uncharacterized. The record is from RefSeq and is a predicted model, not a curated record. NCBI's taxonomy places the organism in Eukaryota, Metazoa, Mollusca, Bivalvia, Venerida, Veneridae. The transcript is spliced from 2 exons.
AGGCUUUCUACUGGUCCCUACUUUUCCUACUUUUCCUACUUUUCCCUACUUUUUUCUACUUUUUUCUUUUGAUCCCUACUUUGCCCUACUUUUUUCUGAAAUAGCCCUAUUAUCCCUACUUUUUCAUUUUGAAAUGAAAUAAAAUAAAAAGGAGAUAUUUAAAAUGGCAUUUCAGUAGUAUUUUCAGUUGCAAUUGAUGAGUAGUUCAGGUGUGUGUGUGUGUAUCUCCUUGUGAUGUCCAUCCUUGAAAGACUCAUGGUGCCUUGGCAAAACAUUCAGCAACAUUCUGGCUAUGAGGUGCCUGUCUUUCAAGCAUGGACUGAACUGAAGAUACACACAGCCUUAUGUGGUCUUGGUGAUGGUAAGUCUUAACUAAAACGGUAAGAAAUUCCUACUUUAUCCCUACUUUUUAACAUCAGAAAUCCCUACUUUGCCCUACUUUUUGGUAAAAAAAUGCCCUACUUUUUCCCUAGUUUUUUUGGUAGAGGCAGUAGAAAGCCUGCA